This 253-nucleotide ribosomal RNA is filed under the name uncultured bacterium. RNAcentral's name for it is "partial 16S ribosomal RNA". It matches the Rfam family "Bacterial small subunit ribosomal RNA", at positions 524 to 776 of the family's 1533-position model. The record is from RNAcentral.
UACAGAGGGUGCGAGCGUUAAUCGGAAUUACUGGGCGUAAAGCGCACGUAGUCGGCUUUGCAAGUCGGUUGUGAAAUCCCCGGGCUCAACCUGGGAACUGCAUCCGAGACUGCAUUGCUAGAGUAUGGGAGAGGGAAGCGGAAUUUCUGGUGUAGCAGUGAAAUGCGUAGAUAUCGGGAGGAACACCAGUGGCGAAGGCGACUUCCUGGCCUGUUCUUGACGCUGAGGCGCGAAAGCUAGGGGAGCAAACGGG